Molecule: ribosomal RNA, 253 nt
Filed under: uncultured bacterium
Lineage: Bacteria
Description: partial 16S ribosomal RNA
Rfam family: Bacterial small subunit ribosomal RNA
Source: RNAcentral
UACGUAGGGUGCAAGCGUUAAUCGGAAUUACUGGGCGUAAAGCGUGCGCAGGCGGUGAUGUAAGACAGAUGUGAAAUCCCCGGGCUCAACCUGGGAACUGCAUUUGUGACUGCACAGCUGGAGUGCGGCAGAGGGGGAUGGAAUUCCGCGUGUAGCAGUGAAAUGCGUAGAUAUGCGGAGGAACACCGAUGGCGAAGGCAAUCCCCUGGGCCUGCACUGACGCUCAUGCACGAAAGCGUGGGGAGCAAACAGG